CCUACGGGAGGCAGCAGUAGGGAAUCUUUCACAAUGGGCGAAAGCCUGAUGGAGCAACGCCGCGUGCAGGAUGAAGGCCUUCGGGUUGUAAACUGCUUUUAUAAGCGAGAAAUAUGAUGGUAACUUAUGAAUAAGGAUCGGCUAACUACGUGCCAACAGCCGCGGUCAUACGUAGGAUCCGAGCAUUAUCCGGAGUGACUGGGUGUAAAGAGUUGCGUAGGUGGCAUAAUAAGUAGCUAGUGAAAUCUGGUGGCUCAACCAUUCAGACUAUUAGCUAAACUGUUAAGCUCGAGAACGUUAGGGGUAACUGGAAUUUCUAGUGUAGGAGUGAAAUCCGUAGAUAUUAGAAGGAACACCAAUAGCGUAGGCAGGUUACUGGGACGGUUCUGACACUAAGGCACGAAAGCGUAGGGAGCAAACGGGAUUAGAUACCCCUGUAGUC
Molecule: ribosomal RNA, 442 nt
Filed under: uncultured bacterium
Lineage: Bacteria
Description: partial 16S ribosomal RNA
Rfam family: Bacterial small subunit ribosomal RNA
Source: RNAcentral